Molecule: long non-coding RNA, 702 nt
Organism: Argiope bruennichi
Lineage: Eukaryota; Metazoa; Arthropoda; Arachnida; Araneae; Araneidae
Exons: 4
Source: RefSeq, a predicted model, not a curated record
CCGGCUGCCUUAGGAUUGAGUCGGAUUCCACCAUCUCCGCCAACGAUGUGCUUCGUGCACGGUGUUGGAGUGGAGUCUCGUAUUAAAUGCCUCAGGAUUGAGACAGACUCCUGUUAAUCUGAUAAAGGCUAUUCAAUUUGUCAUCUCAUCUGCUAUUGUCUGGAUACUUGGUGAGUCGAGAAAAUUAGUACAAAAAAGUCGGGAUUUUAGAAGACUUGCUAUACAAGAAUCGACUAAUGUCAAACGCAAUGGAGGCUAACUUCCGUAAUUAUCUGUUGGUGCAAUUAGAGUUUCAACAAGGAUAACGCUGGAUCCGAGAUGCGUUACGCCAGUACGGGACUUUUACAAAUGGUUGUUGGUUCUUUCAUUACUGGAUGCAUAUAAGAAUCUACUGCAAGCUGCUCUGAAGGAGGUACCUGACCAGAUAAGUUACUUCAGGAAUCUGUUAUUCCUGUAAACCCAAGCUUGUUUGCUCUUCCCGAACAGAUCAGAAAAUUUCUUCAGAAAAUACAGCCCGGAAGAGCCCAAGGAAUUGAAUUUAACAUGUGCGUGUAAAGUGUCUCCAGUUCUAGUGCGUGUAAAGUGUCUCCAGUUCUAGUGCGUGUAAAGUGUCUCCAGUUCUAGUGCGUGUAAAGUGUCUCCAGUUCUAGUGCGUGUAAAGUGUUCUAAAUGGCGCCAUUUAAAACGAGAUAUCUGUAAAUG